This is a long non-coding RNA of Lemur catta (Ring-tailed lemur), 656 nucleotides long. RefSeq lists it as uncharacterized. The transcript has 2 exons. NCBI's taxonomy places the organism in Eukaryota, Metazoa, Chordata, Mammalia, Primates, Lemuridae. The record is from RefSeq and is a predicted model, not a curated record.
CCCUGCGGGCAUCUUCCAGGAACUCUUUUGUUCUUAAGUUGGAGCUGGUGUCCAGUGCUGGCCGUCAGAGAACUGUAACCGACGCAGACGUGCGUACUGGAGAAGAUGUUAAAAGGCCUGGCCAGUCUCCCCCUCGCCCAGGAAAUGAGGGUUUUUGGAAUUUGUUUCGUAGGGCGUGGAAUGACACUCAAGACCUUUCUAUUAACUACGUAGAAAUCCCCUUACUGCUUGCUGUAGCCACUAAGUGUGUCUAUUAAUAAAAACAAACCCAGAGACUGAUUCUGCAGAAUUGCCAAAUUCACCGCCAGUUGAAUUCAUAACCUCAGCCAGUCGCGGAAAAGGGUGGAAUUCUGUCAACUGGAUUCAUGAUAUCUGGGAGUCGUCAGAGGACAUAAAAACCCUGAACACAAUCCCUCAGGAAGAUUUUCUUCUGACCUUCAUUGCCAAGAAAGUACCUUUGUCUCCCCUCCUGCCCGCACCACGCGGUUGCUGUGCCAGUAACCAGAACCCACACCCGCAUGGCCGGAAGGAUGAGAGGCAGGCUCCGAUCAGGACAGAGAAGGGCUAUAUCCAGAAGAAACCGCAGGAACGAGUGAAUAUGUUGUCGAAAAAUAUAGGAGACAUUUAUGGAAAUCUUUUAAAGGCUGUUUGACCAA